AAAAGUCGUAACAAGGUUUUCGUAGGUGAACCUGCGGAAGGAUCAUUAAUGAAUUCGGGCGCUCGACUCUGAAAUAUUGAGAUCGGCCCCAUUUCUUAAUCCACUUCACACUUGUGCACAUUUUUCCUACUUUCCUUCGGGAGAGUUUGAAAAGCUCUUGUGAUUUUAAUCAAGUCCAGGAUGUGAAUCCAAUUUGAAUAAGUUGUAAAACAACUACAAACGGUGGAUCUCUUGGCUCUCGUAUCGAUGAAGAACGCAGCGAAACGCGAAAUGUAAUGUGGAUUGCAGAAUUCAGUGAAUCAUCGAAUCUUUGAACGCAUCUUGCACUCUCGAAUCACUAUCGAGAGUAUGCCUGUUUGAGCGUCGCGAAACUCUCAACCCCGCCUCAUGCUUUUUAUUGCGUGUGGGUAGCUUGGGCUUGGAUCAUGAUCUUUGCAGUAAUGCGCUAGCAGAACUGCUGGAUUGAAAUACAACAAGCUGAAUCUAUAUACUUGCGGCUUGACCUGUCGUUGUAAGCACACAAAUGCAUUCGAUGGGGACGCGAGAAAAUGGGAUGAGCUUUCCAAAUGUGUUACACUUUGCAGCUUCUAUUAACUUAGAGCUCUUAGUGCAUUCUGACCUCAAAUCAGGUAGGAUUACCCGCUGAACUUAAGCAUAUCAAUA
RNAcentral lists this ribosomal RNA (663 nucleotides) under uncultured eukaryote. RNAcentral's name for it is "eukaryotic LSU rRNA". The stretch from base 212 to 366 matches the Rfam family "5.8S ribosomal RNA". The record is from RNAcentral.